UGCGCCUUGCCAGCCCGCUCAGAAACUCAAAGGAAUUGACGGGGGCCCGCACAAGCGGUGGAGCAUGUGGUUUAAUUCGAUGAUACGCGAGGAACCUUACCUGGGCUCAAAUGUAUGUUGACGUAUUCUGAAAGGGAUACUUCUUCGGACAAUAUACAAGGUGCUGCAUGGUUGUCGUCAGCUCGUGCCGUGAGGUGUUGGGUUAAGUCCCGCAACGAGCGCAACCCUUGCCUUUAGUUGCCAGCAGUUCGGCUGGGCACUCUAAAGGGACUGCCGGUGUUAAACCGGAGAAAGGUGGGGAUGACGUCAAGUCCUCAUGGCCUUUAUGACCAGGGCUACACACGUACUACAAUGGCCGAUACAAAGGGCAGCGACACUGCGAGGUGAAGCCAAUCCCGUAAAAUCGGUCUCAGUCCGGAUUGGAGUCUGCAACUCGACUCCAUGAAGUUGGAAUCGCUAGUAAUCGUGGAUCAGCAUGCCACGGUGAAUACGUUCCCGGGCCUU
Molecule: ribosomal RNA, 504 nt
Filed under: uncultured Desulfobulbus sp.
Lineage: Bacteria; Pseudomonadati; Thermodesulfobacteriota; Desulfobulbia; Desulfobulbales; Desulfobulbaceae
Description: bacterial SSU rRNA
Rfam family: Bacterial small subunit ribosomal RNA
Source: RNAcentral